AUUUCUCUUUCAUUAAAAAUUUCUCAUCCAGCCAAAAACUAAAUGCGAUCCUUACAUCCUUGAACACGGUGAUGAAGUAAAAAUCGGGGAGACUGUGCUGUCUUUUCACAUUCACCCUGGCAGUGAGACUUGCGAUGGCUGUGAACCGGGGCAGGUCAGAGCUCACCUUCGCCUUGAUAAAAAAGAUGAGCCUUUGGUUGGUCCAGCAUUAAGUAAGGAAGAAAAAGAGUUGGAAAGAAGAAAGGCACUAAAGAAAAUACGAGUAAAGUAUGGUUUGC
RNAcentral lists this long non-coding RNA (278 nucleotides) under Rattus norvegicus (Norway rat). Its description in RNAcentral is "long non-coding RNA NONRATT015981". Lineage: Eukaryota; Metazoa; Chordata; Mammalia; Rodentia; Muridae. The record is from RNAcentral.